UUCUGAAUUUUCUUGCAAGCAUAGUCAUUCCUUCUUCAUCAUAUUCCUCCUCAUCAUCAGAUUCUUCUGAUUCAGUUUUCUGUUUUGGAGUGGUAGACUUCAAGGCAAUGAUCUUUCUUUUCUUGACCUCAUCUUCUGAAUUUUGCCUCAUGGUCAACUCAUGGGUCAUGAGUGAUCCUAGAAGUUCUUCCAAUUGCAGUGUAU
RNAcentral lists this long non-coding RNA (204 nucleotides) under Phoenix dactylifera (date palm). Its description in RNAcentral is "long non-coding RNA (PDAC_LNC017794)". Lineage: Eukaryota; Viridiplantae; Streptophyta; Magnoliopsida; Arecales; Arecaceae. The record is from RNAcentral.